GUUACUAUUAUCCAGAACUUUAUUUCCAAGUUAUGAUUUGUGGUUUCUGUUCUCUAUAUUCUUUUUAAUAAAUUUACCUAUUAUUACACCUUGACCGUCUGAAUUGGAUUAAAUUUUGCAUCAGUUAAUGGAGGCACCGCUGGGAUACUGAUCGAUCCUUGAAGUAUAUUUGAUGCAUCGCAAGGAAAGAUAAAGAGAGGCGAGUUGCUCAUCUAAUUCUCUUUAUGGGCUUCUGUUGUGCAAACCUGCCGAGUCUAAGAGCUAUAUCUGCGGACCCAUUUCGUUCAUUUUUCUUGACUGCAGCAAGAGAACGAAUUUGGGGCGGUACGGUGGUUUAACCGUGUGUGAGGAAUGAGCGCGCGCUCUGUGUUUGAGAACGGCGAUUUGCGGCAUUAAAUGUGUUGUUCACUGAAGGGGUUUACCGACAGUGUGGAUAAUUCUGCGUAGCAAGUAUACUUUGCGGGGUUUACCGGAGGUGUAUUGCGGGCGCUUUCAGGGUUUACUGAAGCGCAACAGUUUUUGAGACACGCGCUGUCAGGGAUUACUGCAGCGUGCUGGUCAGAUCUGUAUGUCGAUUCUCUGUUUUGAUAUAGGCUCUGGGAUGGACUCGGCAGUCUUGACACUGGCAGAAUUCCACCUUGCGACUAAAUUCUAAAAUCCAUAUAUUUUGACAAUUGUUUGACUGUGGCAGAAUACCACAUUGUAACUAAGUUUAACUCUGUAUAAUUGUUAUAAUUGUCAGACGGCUGAUCAAAUUAAACAAAUUAAGAGUAAAGAGAACACCAAAUUUAACAAUUUUAUUAAGUGUAUUUAAUUUAGUGUAUCUGAAUUGAAUAAAACUUUUUCUUUGUUGGGGGUGUCAACACACGAAGUAAUGGCUCAUGUGUAUGUAAAAGGAGCUGCUCCUAACGAAGCUCUCACUGCUCAAGUAGCGAUGUUAGGCAUCGGAAAUCAAGAAAAGAUUAAACAGAAAAUGGUAAAGAUGAAUUUAAAGAAAUAUGGGGUCCGUAGGCAGUGUGAAUUGGGGGUGAUGAAGGAAGUUAAUGAUCCUAGGAAACAAAAGAAAUAUGCACAAGUUUUGUGUUGUUUGAGGAUUGUGCGAGCAAAAAGUCUUUUAACAGAUCGCAAUGGAAGAAUAGUUUAUGUGGAUAAACUGGCACAAGCCGCUAGAGACACUACGCAAGAUAUGUGGGAUUUAUUAGACAUUGUAACUAAGGAGACAAGAGCAGAUACAGGGAGAGUUCCUAAAUUGAUAAUAUCUAUAGCUGGCAGGAAUAUGCUUCGAAACUAAAAGCAGUGAUUGCCAAGGCAGGGAGACAUGUGACGAAUGCCUCAGAGAAUGGUGGUAUACAGGUUGCCGCUAUUUCUCCUGGGGACCUGGAGGAAGUUGAGAAUGAGUGGGGCGAGUAUGUGAAACUGCGUCCAAAAUUACCCCGCUAUAGUGAAAUAGAUCAGGAAUCGAUAGCGGCUGGUCAAGUGGGGGUUUAUCGAUCUAUGGGUGUGCGAGAUUUGACUAUUGUAAAUACAUUGCCACUCAUGAAAUCUAACAGUACCAAUUCUGAAUUUUGGGAUCGUUUGUGGGUAAUGGCAAGAGCCAACCGCCUAGCAGUAAAAGAUAAAAGAUCCGUAUUCAAUUUGUGAGCAAGUCUGCCCGUCUACAUACACGGGACAGAUUGUUAAUCUCACCCCUCCUUUACAGCCACCAGCGAAUGUAGAUGAUUACGCAACUCAGUACAGAGUGCUGCGUACUGAAGUACAGCAUGCAGUUGGAAAUGGAAUUCAGACUUUCACUAAUGUGACAAUGAUUAGGCAGGGUCCUAAAGAACCAUUUGUUGAUUACACUGAGCGAUUCACAAAGGCACUGAAAGAAUUUGUGGCAGCACGAGGGGGGCCUGACUUAGAUUCUCCAAUCAUGCUCCACACUGCGAAGUCAAAUAUGAAUGCUAAAUUUACACAGUUGUUUCAUUCUUCUCUGUCAACAAUAGUUGACUGGUCUUCUUUUGUAGCCUGGGGACACAGGCUCAAGACAUCGUGGAACAACAAAAGAAGGGACUGGUUGCUGCAGUUGGUCAGCCCUCUGCUCCGGCAUUUCGCUGUUAUCAUUGCCAGCGCGAUGGUCACUACGCAAACAGGUGCCCUGAUCGAAAUUUAGAGCUUUCAGAAAGCCUAGUUCCUCUUUUCAACAACAGCUGACACCAAAACCACUUCCUCGAGAUCGUGCUAAAAAUAACCCUGGUGCAGAGAAGCAGGGUGCUGACCUGGAAGCAGGUUGAAAAACUGACAAGAGCUUUUGAGAAUACAGACUGACAGAUAGUGGCCUUCAUUUUAUAUGGGCACGAAGACCCUCGUCCAUUUUUACAUUCUAACUUUGGAGGCCAGGAUAGCUACAUUCUUGUGGGCCCCUGGAUUUGCCUUUAACAAACAAACAAAUGCAUCUUCAAGGAUUGAACCUUUGAAUGUUUUAGGUCCUAUACAUCCUCCAGUAUUCCAGUAUCCUCUUCGGAGAGAAACAGAGUGAGUUGCACAGGAAAUUGUGAACCAGCUUCAGGAAUCAGGGAUUUUGGUAAGGUGUACUUCCUCAAUGAACUUACCUAUGCAGCUUGUGAAAAAAAAAAAAAAAAAAAAGAAGCCAGAUGGUAGCUAUAGGUUAACUAUAGACUACACCGCAUUGAAUGCUGUGACUCCUAAAAUAACUCCUAUUGUUGCUAAUCCGUCAACCAUUCUUAAUGACAUUUCUCCAAACCAUCGCUAUUUUAGUGCAGUAGACAUAACCAAUGGUUUUUGGUUUUGUCCUAUCAGAGAAGAAGAUCAAUACAGAUUUGCCUUUCAAUAUUGUGACAACAUUCUUCUCGCAUCUCAAGAUAAAGCACAACACUUGAGUGUACUCACUCGGUUGUUGAAAAUACUCCAAGAGGUGGGUUUCCUCUUGAACAAACGAAAGGUCCAAUUGUUUCAAUCGGAAGUUACAUUUUAAGGUCAAAGUAUAGGUCGUGAGGGAAAGAGACCUCUUCCAGACCGGGUCAUAGCCAUCACUCAAUUAAAUAAGCCAAACAAAGUUACUGGUUUAAGAUCAUUAAUGGGGCUAUUUAAUUUUAAUCGGAUGUAUAUCCCAGAUUUUUCUGAUUUGGCUAAACCUCUAACAGAGGCUCUUAAAGGAGGCCUUCCGGGUGCUUCCCCUUUGGAGUGGACAUCAGACAGGGCUGAGUCCUUUACUCUCCUCUCCCACGUUAUAACCCCGGCAUGACAAAGACAUUCCAUGUAUGGACACGGACACAUGUUGGCCCAAGUGCUUAUAACGGUGUGCUGGGACAAUGUAAAGGUGACAAAAGUUAUGGCAUUGUUGGGUACUAUUCAACUUUGAUUCCCUCUUCCAUGAAUGGACAGAUGAAUGGACAGAUGAAGUGUUUGAUGGCCUUGGACUGUGCUGAGUGGGCGUUGAAGGUCACUGAGGCCAUCGUCUGUUACAAUCAGAUGAUCCUUCACUCUCCACAUCGUUUUCUACGCAUGCUCGCAGAGACAAAAAUAAAGUUGAUUUCAAAUCAACGACGUGCAAAAUGGGAAACUGCUCUCAUGAACCUUCAGCUCACUGUUGUUGCAGACAACCGGACAAAUCCUGCCUCCUUAAUGGAGAAUGAGGGGAGUACACAUGACUGUGCCAAGGUAAUUAUCUGUGACGGGACAUUUUGUCAGAGAUGAACCAUUUUCAGAUUCUCUGGACAUGUUCGUGGAUAGCAGCAGUUUCUACGAGGGUGACACGCGCUAUACGGGCUGGGCAAUAGUGGAGGGGAAGACGGGCGAGGUCUUGGCUGAGGGGUCGCUUCGGGGAGGAAGUGCUCAGAUAGCUGAAUUGCAUGCCUUAAAAGCUGCCUUAAAUCUGGCCCUUAAACUAACUGCAGGUGAAAAUAGCCCCACUAAUGUAAAAAUUUUUACUGAUAGCGCAUACAGCUACCAUGUAGUGCAGAGUUAUGUCCCUGUUUGGAAACGUCGUGGGUAUUUGACCACAGCAGGUACGGUACGCCAAUAAGUCAUCAAACCGUCAUUAAAGAAAUUCUUGACACGUGUGAGAAAAUUCCACCAAACAGUGUCGCGAUAUGUAAAGUCACAGGUCACAGUACAUUCAAUGAUUGGUUGGCAAAAGGAAACUCUCUAGCUAAUAAGGCUGCGAGAGAAGCUGCAAAGGGUGUGGCACUUGAGGAAGUAGCUGUUAUUUUCCCUGUUCAUCCUGACUGCACGGGUUCCAAAACUUUAUCUAAAUUGUACACAACUGAGGAUCGUGAAAUGUGUCAGAAAUUAGGAGCUACCUUAACUGAAGAAGGGGUUUAUGCUCUGAAUGACAAAGUCAUUCCGCCUAGCGGAUAUCAAACUAAACUAAUUGAUUUGUACCACAGCAUUGCACACCAAGGGGUUCUGAAAACAUAUGCUAUGUUACAACAAACAUGGUUUUGGUCAGAGAUGUUACAAACUGUGAAGGAUAGACUGUCCAGAUGUAUCCACUGUUUGCAAACCGAAGCCAUAAUUUGGAAAAGGUAAAAUCCCAAUUGGUCACAGUCCUCGCCCGCGAGGACCAUUCACACAUCUACAAUUGGAUUUUAUUUCGUUACCUUCUGAUCGUGGGUACAAAUAUGUACUAGUUUUUGUUUGUAAAUUUUCCAGAUGCUCUGAAAGGGUAUAUUGGAUUUUCAGUCCCUCUCAUUGCACCAUGGUUCGGGAAUGAUAGGUUUUCAUAAAAUAUGGGUAUCUUUACUGGGAUUUAGGUUAUAAGUAAUGUCUGUAUUUGGUAUCUGUGAGGUGACUGAGGGUCUGACCUAGGUCAGGAAUGCAAUAACAGUGAUUAUUAAUUUAGCCCGGCUUCCAGAGAAUAAUACAUAUAUACGUUUAUUGCAAAGAGUUAUUUUACGAUAUAACAAAUUAACCAAAAUUCAUCAUGGUUGUAUAAGACAUAUAAAAAGGAAAAAUAAAAAAUAAGUCAAGUUUCUUUCUAAAAAGGUCUUUGGGUUUUAACUGUACCUUCCCCUAAAGCUCCGUUGUUGCACUCAGGUCCUUCGGGUCCAUUGAAAGACACUUUACAGGAGUAUCUUAAAGUACUCACGUGCGCAUUGAAGAAUGCCCAUUUCAGUGCCCUCAGUGCUCAACAUGCUGGAGAUCUUAAAAACACUAUAUUCAAUGUAAAGGCUAAAAACCCCGUACAAGUGGGGGAUGAGGUAAUGAUACAAAAAAUAGGGAACUUAGGACCAAUGUCCUCCAGGUAUGAGGGUCCUUAUUUGGUGUUGUUGACUACUCCAACAUCUCUUCUUGUUGAAAUCGAGCCAGGGCUGACUCGAUGGAUGCAUCUUGCACAAGUGAAGCCUCUGUCGCCGCUUGCUGAUACUAACUCUCUUUCUAAUGUGAUUUAGUCCAACAGGUGCAGUAUUUUAUAUCCAAGGAAUGGCUGCUAAGGAAGAACAAUGACUAAUUGUUUCCUCUCUUUAGGUUCUCAACUAUGAUUCCAUCCGGACCUGUUGUGUUAAUAAUAAUAAUAAAAAAAAUAUAUAUAUAUAUAUAUAAAAAGAGAGACUGAAAACCAUGGUGUUUAUGUUUGUGUGUAUUGGUGUUGUCCUGUUUGGUUGUCUAUGUGUCGUUGUGUGUGUUGUGUUUUUGUUUUUAUCCCAAAAUUUCUGCUCCUACUAUUCUUUAUCUCUAAAAGGUACGAGUGCAUGCUGUCACAGAAAUAUUCUGCGACUGGUUCUAAGGGUGACUCUUUGAUGUGACUUCUGCAACAGUGCAGCUCAUUGACAUUCUGGGAGUGGUUGCUGUGCUCAUGGCUGGACAUCAGUGUUUCAUUGCAUCAUCAUAACAUCACUCGUUAACUAAUUCUACGUCAUCUGAGAGACCUGUGCUAAAAUCUACCAGCUGAUAGAUAUAUAUAGAUUUACAAAUUCCUACAUUAAGAUGCCUUAAAAGAUUGUUGAUCAAAGAGAUUCUUAUUCUCCCAUUUAUACCAGUAGUGAUGAGGAAAUCUAUACCUUGCAGGUGAAGGGUAAGGAAAGGUAUGAGAUGUUGAAAACGAUCAACGAAAGUUUGGAAAUUAACGACAUGGUACCAUAAGGACAAAUAUCUUCAGCUACUAUCUCCUAAGGGCAAGAAGAGAAAGAACGAUGAUAGAGUUUAGAGUUGGGAAAGAUGGAAGGCUGUGGUAAGUCCUCAACCCAGCAAAAGUCCAGGGGACGCCAGGGGUCGAAUUUCCUUAGGAGUUCUCGUCUGGCCAUCUUGGUGAAGAUCUUUGUUAAUUUUAAGGUAGCUGGGGUUAGAGAGGUAUCUACAGUACUAUCUAUCUGAAAUUGUUUUAUUGAUUUUCUAUAUUUUCAUGUAUGCAUCAUUUAUUUUUCUUUUGAAUUACUCUGUAUUUUUGGUUUUGAUUUAAGGAAAAGGUUGUGGCGAGUCUUUUGAUAAGACUCGAGUGGGGGAUUGGUGUGUGGAGAUUCUAAGAAAUCCACAUGGUGAUAGAGAUUCUGAGAAGAAGUCCAUGUAUUUAAAUUAAACCCAAGUGUUGUUGAGAGAUUCUGAGAAGUCACGUACUCAAAAUGUGUUCUAUUCAUAAUGAUAAGUUUUAUUUCAAAAGUUAAAAAUUAAUAUUUCAUGGUAAGGAUCUGUCUCAUAUAUAUAUUAACAGGUUUCAUUUUUAUAUUCAAAAAUGUUUUUGGUAAACUUUAUGGUAUAUUUCAUAUGUAAUUUCACAGUAUUUCUAACUGCGUAGUCAGCUGAGUCUGUUUUGCAUAUGAAGUUGAACUGCACGUAUUGUUCUUUUAAAUCAAUAUUUCUUAGAAUUAUCAGUAUGAUACUUUGAAUCUAAAAGAGGAAGAAGUCCAAAAUCGAGACAUUGACUAGACUAUUUUUAAAGGUUAGGUGUUAUUAGUGAUAGCCAGAUGACGACUUAUGUCUAGAACAACAGUAUAUAAGAUAGACUCUGCAAAAUAGAAUAGGGUUUGACUUUCUGAGACUCUGGUCUCUCUAUCUUUUCAGCUCACUUCCUCUUCUUUGGCUUCACUCGACAACUCCUCUUAGACUCAGACUUAGAACUCUUACAGGUUUUUAUUCAAAUUCAGAUACCUUGAAAUUCAGAUACUUUGAUACUCUGAUACUUUGAUAUUUUAAUAUUUUAAUACUAAUAUUUUGGUACUUUUGAUUCGAACAGAAUAAUUGUUUAUGUUUUACUUACAAUUUUAUUAAUGUUUUGAUUAAUACUGGUUGGGUUCAAUCCAUCAUAAAUUGAUUGUUAUUAAAAAUGUACUAACAUUGGAUUUACAUUUUCUAUAUUUGAAGGUUGUUACUAUUAUCCAGAACUUUAUUUCCAAGUUAUGAUUUGUGGUUUCUGUUCUCUAUAUUCUUUUUAAUAAAUUUACCUAUUAUUACACCUUGAC
Long non-coding RNA from Cyprinus carpio carpio, 7397 nucleotides. The record is from Ensembl. Lineage: Eukaryota; Metazoa; Chordata; Actinopteri; Cypriniformes; Cyprinidae.